ACGUACACUCCUACGGGAGGCAGCAGUGGGGAAUAUUGGACAAUGGGCGCAAGCCUGAUCCAGCCAUGCCGCGUGAGUGAUGAAGGCCCUAGGGUUGUAAAGCUCUUUCACCGGUGAAGAUAAUGACGGUAACCGGAGAAGAAGCCCCGGCUAACUUCGUGCCAGCAGCCGCGGUAAUACGAAGGGGGCUAGCGUUGUUCGGAUUUACUGGGCGUAAAGCGCACGUAGGCGGACUAUUAAGUCAGGGGUGAAAUCCCGGGGCUCAACCCCGGAACUGCCUUUGAUACUGGUAGUCUUGAGUGCGAGAGAGGGGAGUGGAAUUCCGAGUGUAGAGGUGAAAUUCGUAGAUAUUCGGAGGAACACCAGUGGCGAAGGCGGCUCACUGGCUCGAUACUGACGCUGAGGUGCGAAAGCGUGGGGAGCAAACAGUAUUAGAAACCCGAGUAGUCCCA
RNAcentral lists this ribosomal RNA (452 nucleotides) under uncultured organism. Its description in RNAcentral is "partial 16S ribosomal RNA". It matches the Rfam family "Bacterial small subunit ribosomal RNA", at positions 329 to 797 of the family's 1533-position model. The record is from RNAcentral.